AUUGGAUGCCGAUCCAAUCUAGUAGAUUGGACAAUUGUUUUACUUGACCAUCUGCCAUAAUUUAUUGUCGUAAUAAAUCACAUGACUUACAUCUUCUGGUCUAACUGACCUGAAGAACCAAUAGGUAACAGGAUUUCUUUCUCCUAUCACAAUCAAAAGCAGCAUAAUUCCUUUCAAACCCGGGUCUAAUUGAGUAGAUGCUUAAAACAUGAUCGAUACUGGCAGGAUCCGUUUAUUUCGUAGAAUUGAAAUGAAGAGUCUUGAGACUCAUAAAAAGAUCUAUCUCGACAUGUAGAGCUCUCGAGUGGACAAUCUUGGCCUGGGAAUGGCGACCAGGGGCUUCAUUUUCUUGACCACAAUGCCGAACUUGUCCGAGAAUUCCAGCUCAACCCCUGGCGGUAAUUCCCACUCGAACGAAUGCAAAAGAGAGGCCAAAA
This is a long non-coding RNA of Syzygium oleosum, 437 nucleotides long. RefSeq lists it as uncharacterized. Lineage: Eukaryota; Viridiplantae; Streptophyta; Magnoliopsida; Myrtales; Myrtaceae. The transcript has 2 exons. The record is from RefSeq and is a predicted model, not a curated record.